GAUGAACGCUGGCGGCGUGCCUAACACAUGCAAGUCGAGCGGCAGCGAGGGGGGCUUGCACCCUGUCGGCGAGCGGCGGACGGCUGAGUAACGCGUGGGAACGUGCCCCAAAGUGAGGAAUAACUGCCCGAAAGGGUAGCUAAUACCGCAUAUUAUCUUCGGAUCAAAGGAUUUAUCCGCUUUGGGAGCGGCUCGCGUCGGAUUAGGUAGUUGGUGAGGUAAUGGCUCACCAAGCCGACGAUCCGUAGCUGGUCUGAGAGGAUGACCAGCCAGACUGGAACUGAGACACGGUCCAGACUCCUACGGGAGGCAGCAGUGAGGAAUCUUCCACAAUGGGCGAAAGCCUGAUGGAGCAACGCCGCGUGCAGGACGAAGGCCUUCGGGUUGUAAACUGCUUUUAUAAGUGAGGAAUAUGACGGUAACUGAUGAAUAAGGAUCGGCUAACUACGUG
This 451-nucleotide ribosomal RNA is filed under the name uncultured bacterium. RNAcentral describes it as "partial 16S ribosomal RNA". It matches the Rfam family "Bacterial small subunit ribosomal RNA", at positions 28 to 507 of the family's 1533-position model. The record is from RNAcentral.